GGAAUGGGUUCUAUGGAGUAGGCCAUGCGUUUGAGUGUAGGCCAAGUGCAGGUAGCUCCUGUUCACUAUAUCUGUCCUAAACCCUAGUUUUGCCUUAGCAGAGAGAAGGUGUUACUGUUCUACAGUGAUCAUGUACUCCAUUCCUGUAACGUUCUGUAGAAUCUGCAAGGGCAGAAUGCAAGUAUGUGCAGUGUUGGCAUAUUGGGACACUGAUUAAAGAGGGUCUAGUUAAGGUUGUGUUGUGGGGGGUGGCACGUAGUUCUAUAUUUCCUGGCUUUCAGAAGGUUAAAAUUGCAUUACCGUAGCUCUUCAUUUCCUAGAUUUCAGGGAUUUAAGUGUAGCUGAACUUGAUGUUCUGAGAUAGGGUGACCAGACAGAAAGCAUGAAAAAUCGGGACAGGGUGGGGAGAUAAUUGGAGCCUACAUAAGAAAAAGACCGAAAAAUCGGGACUUGUCCCUAUAAAAUUGGGACAUCUGGUCACCCUAUCCUGAGAUGAAGCAUCACUGGACAAUCUUAACUCUGUCUUAACAAAGUUUUUGGGCCAUUAAUUUCCUUUAAAAAAAUUCUAAGAACCCCAUGUUCCACAGGCAGCUCUCCAUCUCUACUGCCUCUGGCUCCUUGACAACUAUUACCCUGGCCACAGAAGGUACUGAACUGAUGUUGGUCCCUUCACUGCCCCACAAUCAUCUCUCUGCCUGUCCAGCACAGCCUGGUCCUCCCUUCCCAGUCUUCCUACCCACAGAGGAAUGGGCAUCAGUGGGGGCCUAUUAGAUUGAGAAUCUGGGUACAAGAUGCAGGAAUAAUACAGGCACUGACACAGUCAGUAAAGGCAUAUUUUGAUGGGGGGACAAAAAUGAGGGGCAUGGGUAGGUUUUGGGGGUGCUGAAGCCUCCCUACUUCCCCCAGUGCACAUCUCUGACCCUCUCCUUUCCUCCCCAUAUUCUUCUGCACUUCUCUGACUUUCCCUUUCCCCCUAGAAGCAGCAAUAUCCAGCAUCCUGGAGGCAACACAGGGAAGGACAAAGUCCUGGGUUCCUUCCCCGAUCAGGUUUCAUUGGAAGGAAGGGGAACCACUGAGCCCCUUCCUUUGGCCUGGUGGAGAAGCCAGGGGGAGGAACUUUGAGGUGAUGGGUGUAUCUGUAAGGGGCCUAGGGCAAGGCAGAGCUCGCUCUAUUUCCUUUCCCCUCCUUAUGGUACUGUUCUGUCACCACUUAUGAGCUCUCAUGGAGCAAAGAUCCUUUCGUGGAUGAUCCCUUUGAGGAUGAUCAUAGAGUGAUUGUAGAAAAACUAUACUUCUUGGGAACUUAGUUCUUCAUCAAAGCUCUAAUAAUCAAACUAGGUUUUCAGAAACAUAAUGCUUGUGCAAUCCCUUGCAUUAAUAAAAGUCAUUGUCUAAGUGUGUGCUGGCUUCUCAGUAGCUGUGCCAGGUUGGCAAAGGGGCAGAGCUGCAGUCCCAACUCCAACAUUGCCUGCCCUGCUCCAACAUAUACCCCUAUUUCUCCCUCACCUUUCCAAUUCCUCCUUGUUCCUAUGAAACAAAAAAGUUAUGAAAAUCUGAAAAUGUUAUGAGCAGCUCAUGUUAAUGGGUUGUCUAUCACUAACCCCCAUGACCAAAGGACCCAACAACUUACUUGCUUUCCUUUGAUCACAUUCAGUCCUAUUGUUCAGGAAAUGAUUGAGGAUCAUGAGUCAUAAUUGCAUUACCUUUACUAGAAUCUUUCAUCUGACCUCUCUUUAAUACUAAUUUCCUUGGUAAUACUUCUAAAGUAAAAUCAGAGUGCAUGUGGAUUUUAGAGCACUUUAAAAUAUUGGCUCUUAAACCAGGGCAAAACUUUCCAAAAGGAGCCCCUACAGAAUGCAGGCAGAGAACUCAAAUGUAUAAUACACAUGCUCUGAAAACUGCCAAGGGUACAGCUCUAAUUCACUGUUCAUAGGCAUUGCUCAGGUUCAGUGGCCAUAGCAUGUCACCUUGAGCCAUCCAGUCACUGUGAUAAGACUGCCUGAGAGCUUUCUGGCAUGAACAGAACCCUAGUCUUGCUGCACAUGUGCAUUUCACUCUUUGGCUUGUCAGUUAGACUCGACCCAGAGUGAAGUUCUAAACUUUACCCUGAAUAGCUUUGGAAAUAUUGCAUUCCCCAAAGAGGCAGUGGGUAGCAUGCAAUAGUUGAGAUAAAUUCAGAGCAGGUAAAAUCAGUGUGGAGAAGAUUAGAGCCAUUGUUCAAAACCCAGGUAUGCACAAAAACUAUUAGAAGAACCCAGUGAUUUUGUAAACGUGAUUUUUAGGGGGACUGUAUUUCAGGAACCCUUUGUUCAAAUGACCCCAAAUUUGAAUCCUUCCCCCAGCCCCAUGUAACACAGCAACUUUCAAGACAAUGCAAGCCACUAUGUGGAUUUUAGAGUGACUCUAAAUCUUAACUAUGCAAAGUUGCCGCUUUGCUAUAAUGUGCAACAUCUAAAUUGCCAUUAACACCAUGACCCCAAAUCAAAAACAGAAAGUAUCUUAGUGCAAAAAAAAAUAAAUAAAUCAGAAGUACUUUCAUGAAUGACCACCAUGUGAGAAGCAUAAAAUGAUAAAAGACCUUCACAUAUUGCUGAGGCCAUAUUUAUUAUGUUCUCAGGAUGACAUAUAGUAAUGAAGGCAUAUAUCAAGAAUAUGAGAGGCCCUCUUUGAAAGGUAUCUGGAUGUCUCACAUGUAUCAAAUGAUCAAAGCAGAUCUGGGUAUUAUGGACAGUUCCAGUGUAUCAGUUCUUAGUGAGAAACCUGCAUCUAGAGCAGGACAAUAAAAGGUCAUUUUGUUUUGCAGGAGAUUUUGAUUUUUAAAAAUUGAUUUACUUUGGAUUUGGAAUGAAAACCAAAAAUUUCAAAAUUCUCUGUGGAAAGGAACGGAGCCAUGGCUAGCCUGAAGCCAGGGACCCUGAAAGUUCUGGGAGCCUGCACUGCCCACGAGCCAGGCACGCAAGAUGGCAGGAAAAUAGGCAGGUUUCAUGACCUGCUUGGAUCCCAUCAGAACUUCAUCAAAAUUGAACCAUGUCUGUUUGGUUUUCAACGAGUUUGUGAAUGCCGACGAAUGUCGAUGGUCUGUGAUGACUUUUGACCAGUCUAUCGACAACAUUAAAGAUCGAUGAUGGAAAUGCAUCCAUAUUCUUUGUUGGACCCUUCUAUGGCAUUUGACAGUAUUGAUCACCAGCUAGUCUUGGCCAUCAUGAAGAGGUUACUGGAGUGAACAGAAAUGUCCUGAAAUGGCUUUGGUCCUUCUUCCCUGUCAGUGGGUUGGAACUGGCUGCUGUUUCUCUGCCUGGAGUCCUCUAAGGCUCAAUCCUCUCCUCCUCCAUUUUAGUCAACAUCUGUAUGAAGCUAUUGAGAGAGCUGGUGAAACACCACAAGGUGAUGUGAUAGCAGCACACAAAUAACACACAGUUCUACAACUUGUGUCAAGUAUAUGUAGCACCAUCUCCCAGCUUUCUCAGUGCCUGGCUGAAAUCAACACUUGGAUGAAGAACAGUUGCCCAAAGCUGAAUCCAAGCAAGACUGAGGUGAUGUUGAUAGGAAGAGGCUGAAGUGCUGAAUUCAGGCCUUUCACAGGAGCUAGGCCUGGAUUAUGGGACUCACUUCCCCAAGAGAUAAGAAUGACUGUGGAACUAACUACUUCAGAAUGAGAUGUAAAACUCACUUCUGCAACUCAGCUUCCCCUCAAUAAUUUCUUCACACAUGACACAUCCAUUCAUUCACACACGCAUAGCCACAAGCCUAAACAAGCAAAUAAAAAGCCUAUAGUCUUUCUCCUUGGAAGAAA
This is a long non-coding RNA of Dermochelys coriacea (leatherback sea turtle), 3793 nucleotides long. RefSeq lists it as uncharacterized. NCBI's taxonomy places the organism in Eukaryota, Metazoa, Chordata, Testudines, Dermochelyidae. The transcript is spliced from 2 exons. The record is from RefSeq and is a predicted model, not a curated record.